This 253-nucleotide ribosomal RNA is filed under the name uncultured Flavobacteriaceae bacterium. RNAcentral's name for it is "partial 16S ribosomal RNA". It matches the Rfam family "Bacterial small subunit ribosomal RNA", at positions 1 to 260 of the family's 1533-position model. The record is from RNAcentral. Lineage: Bacteria; Pseudomonadati; Bacteroidota; Flavobacteriia; Flavobacteriales; Flavobacteriaceae.
CUCGGAGUUUGAUCCUGGCUCAGGAUGAACGCUAGCGGCAGGCUUAACACAUGCCAGUCGAGGGGUAUAGUUCUUCGGAACUAGAGACCGGCGCACGGGUGCGUAACGCGUAUGCAAUCUACCUUUUACAGAGGGAUAGCCCAGAGAAAUUUGGAUUAAUACCUCAUAGUAUGUGAGAAUCGCAUGGUUUUCACAUUAAACGUUCCAACGGUAAAAGAUGAGCAUGCGUCCCAUUAGCUAGAUGGUAAGGUAA